Molecule: long non-coding RNA, 560 nt
Filed under: Betta splendens (Siamese fighting fish)
Lineage: Eukaryota; Metazoa; Chordata; Actinopteri; Anabantiformes; Osphronemidae
Description: lncRNA (ENSBSLG00000025248.1)
Source: RNAcentral
CAUGGCGUCGUGCAUUCCGUUUCAAACCCAGCUGUCUUCAAUAAUGGAGGUCCUGGUGAAAGCAGCGGUGGCAGAGAUAUCCAAACUAGUCGAUGACAAAUGUGCGUUUUUGCACCUUGAAAUCUCCCGAAAGCAAAGCGAGAAUGAGAUGCUGAAGAGGAAACUGCUGAUGUUGGAGGGUAAAAACGCACAGCUGCAGCGCGGCUUCGAAAACUACAUGGACAGAGGAAGUGAUGCUGGGACAAACUGCCCACAUCCCAUAGGGGACAUGAAGUUUCCUGACAUAGACGAUGCUGCUGUUUCCUUCACAAUUAAACAAGAGGCUUCAGAUGAACCAAUAUGGAUCAGUGAUUCUGCUGCAAUUGGUGAGUUUACACGCUUGGUUUAGUUUUAGAGCUGUAUAUACAACUGUUGCUGCUUUGUGCUUGAGCCUGACCUCGCCGUGCUCCUGUGACCUGCAGGGUCUGCUGUUCAGUACCCUCCGAAUAACCCGCAGUUUCAAGAGAACCAUUCGGACAUCACCAGGCAAAAGACGUUGGGGUACAGUGAGACCUAUAACC